GACGAACGCUGGCGGCGUGCUUAACACAUGCAAGUCGAACGGUGACGAGGAGCUUGCUCCUCUGAUCAGUGGCGAACGGGUGAGUAACACGUGAGCAACCUGCCCCAGACUCUGGGAUAACAGUUGGAAACAGCUGCUAAUACCGGAUACGAGACGGAGAGGCAUCUCUACCGUCUGGAAAGUUUUUCGGUCUGGGAUGGACUCGCGGCCUAUCAGCUAGUUGGUGAGGUAAUGGCUCACCAAGGCGACGACGGGGUAGCCGGCCUGAGAGGGCGACCGGCCACACUGGGACUGAGACACGGCCCAGACUCCUACGGGAGGCAGCAGUGGGGAAUAUUGCACAAUGGGCGAAAGCCUGAUGCAGCGACGCCGCGUGAGGGAUGAAGGCCUUCGGGUUGUAAACCUCUUUCAGCAGGGAAGAAGCGAAAGUGACGGUACCUGCAGAAGAAGCACCGGCUAACUACGUG
Molecule: ribosomal RNA, 467 nt
Filed under: uncultured bacterium
Lineage: Bacteria
Description: bacterial SSU rRNA
Rfam family: Bacterial small subunit ribosomal RNA
Source: RNAcentral